UGAGUAACCUGCCCUUAACUCUGGGAUAAGCCUGGGAAACUGGGUCUAAUACCGGAUAUGACUCCUCAUCGCAUGGUGGGGGGUGGAAAGCUUUAUUGUGGUUUUGGAUGGACUCGCGGCCUAUCAGCUUGUGGUGAGGUAAUGGCUCACCAAGGCGACGACGGGUAGCCGGCCUGAGGAGGGUGACCCGGCCACACGUGGGACUGAGACACGGCCCAGACCUCCGUACGGGAGGCAG
This 238-nucleotide ribosomal RNA is filed under the name uncultured bacterium. RNAcentral describes it as "partial 16S ribosomal RNA". It matches the Rfam family "Bacterial small subunit ribosomal RNA", at positions 118 to 351 of the family's 1533-position model. The record is from RNAcentral.